This 395-nucleotide ribosomal RNA is filed under the name uncultured bacterium. RNAcentral's name for it is "bacterial SSU rRNA". It matches the Rfam family "Bacterial small subunit ribosomal RNA", at positions 505 to 898 of the family's 1533-position model. The record is from RNAcentral.
GUGCCAGCAGCCGCGGUAAUACAGAGGUCCCGAGCGUUGUUCGGAUUCACUGGGCGUAAAGGGUGCGUAGGUGGCUUGAAAAGUUUGAUGUGAAAGCUCAGGGCUUAACCCUGAAAUGGCAUUGAAUACUGUCGAGCUGGAGGUUUGGAGGGGGGACUGGAAUUCUUGGUGUAGCAGUGAAAUGCGUAGAUAUCAAGAGGAACACCAGUGGCGAAGGCGAGUCCCUGGACAACACCUGACACUGAGGCACGAAAGCUAGGGGAGCAAACAGGAUUAGAUACCCUGGUAGUCCUAGCCCUAAACGGUGCACGUUUGCUGUAAAAGGAAUCGACCCCUUUUGUGGCGAAGCUAACGCGAUAAACGUGCCGCCUGGGGAGUACGGUCGCAAGAUUAAA